This 497-nucleotide ribosomal RNA is filed under the name uncultured bacterium. RNAcentral describes it as "partial 16S ribosomal RNA". It matches the Rfam family "Bacterial small subunit ribosomal RNA", at positions 28 to 507 of the family's 1533-position model. The record is from RNAcentral.
GAUGAACGCUGGCGGCGUGCCUAAUACAUGCAAGUCGAGCGAACAGACGAGGAGCUUGCUCCUCUGACGUUAGCGGCGGAGGGGUGAGUAACACGUGGAUAACCUACCUAUAAGACUGGGAUAACUUCGGGAAACCGGAGCUAAUACCGGAUAAUAUAUUGAACCGCAUGGUUCAAUAGUGAAAGACGGUUUUGCUGUCACUUAUAGAUGGAUCCGCGCCGCAUUAGCUAGUUGGUAAGGUAACGGCUUACCAAGGCAACGAUGCGUAGCCGACCUGAGAGGGUGAUCGGCCACACUGGAACUGAGACACGGUCCAGACUCCUACGGGAGGCAGCAGUAGGGAAUCUUCCGCAAUGGGAGAAAGCCUGACGGAGCAACGCCGCGUGAGUGAUGAAGGUCUUCGGAUCGUAAAACUCUGUUAUUAGGGAAGAACAAAUGUGUAAGUAACUAUGCACGUCUUGACGGUACCUAAUCAGAAAGCCACGGCUAACUACGUG